RNAcentral lists this non-coding RNA (53 nucleotides) under unclassified sequences. RNAcentral's name for it is "Mu-gpT-DE RNA". It matches the Rfam family "Mu-gpT-DE RNA". The record is from Rfam by way of RNAcentral.
CCCUGACAGCUACAUUGGGUAGCUGACACUAGCCACGACAGGAGAUCAUAAUG